This is a long non-coding RNA of Passer domesticus (house sparrow), 1749 nucleotides long. RefSeq lists it as uncharacterized. The record is from RefSeq and is a predicted model, not a curated record. Lineage: Eukaryota; Metazoa; Chordata; Aves; Passeriformes; Passeridae. The transcript has 4 exons.
UUCUUGCAUGCUGUUGCUGAAGAAAUCAGGAGUCGUAUCAGAGACAGCCACUAGAUUUUUUUUCAUUGGUAGGAGAGAGCCAAAAAGGGGAGGCUGAAUGAGGGAGACAGCAGGGUGUAUCUCCAAGAGGGGAAUCAGAAAGACGUUUGGUCCUGCUCCCAAGGGACGUCUUUAUGCCUGCUCCCGUGUUGGCAGACCCGAGGCUGCUGUUUGCAUCUCCAGCAGCAGAUGGAUCAGACUAUUCCACUGAAAAUUUCGAGGACAAAAAUCAUUUCUACUUAGCAGUAGCAUUAAAGCCCUUGAAUUGGGCCACAUUCUGCUGCCAAUGCAGUUUCGAGGACACUUGGAAAAUAUUUUGAACAGCAGGGAAGAAUAGCGAUUACCACCUCACAGUCUCUCAAAGGUGUGAAUAUUGUAGGUUAUUUUCCCUUUGACUGUUUAUGGCCUAUUUACAGUAUAAUCACACCAAAUCAGGGUUAUAACAUGCCUUUCUUUUUUUCUUUUAGUGAAAAUAGAAUCCAGCAUAAUUUUUUUUUAUUUACUGUAGCUCCCUCUAGAAGCUCAGGCAUUUUCAGGCACUAAGCAAGAAUGAUCUCUUCUCCAAGGCAUUCAUAACUGAAGGAGAGGCAAGGAGAAAGGUGGCUAGGAAAAAUAUCAGAAUCUAGAUUGGUUUUGAGGGUACCCUCAAACAACUGCAUUGAAGACUGACUGGAGGCCAAAGUCCUGUUAUAACUUACAAGAGCAGAACCACGCAACUAUCAGAAAAGGGCUGAUUUUGACUCUGACAAACUGAUCCAGAUGCUUCAAACUACUGGGACCCACUGUCCUGCACCAGUAACUGUAUAAGCAAGAAUCAAAACUGAGGAUCUGCUUUAUUUUAUAGCAUUUACUACCUCUUGCAGAAAACCAAGCUUUGGCACAGACAAAUUGUUUGGGGUUUAAGUUACUUGUAUGGCAAAUUACAGCUAAAGAAAAGCUUGUAAAUACGAAGAGAGUGUAAAUGAGGCUUUGCUAGCUGGCAAACAACUGAAAUUACUGUUUCUAAAUGUGUGAUAAACUCCAGUUUAAUCAAUCUGUUUGCACUGAAACUUAAUGAAGCCAAUUUAAGCAUCAUCUUUCUAACUGCUGAUAUGUUACCACAAGAGGUUUACCUAAUGAACCUCUUCCUACAAUCCUGAAAUCUCUUUAAUACCUUAGCAUCAAAAGUGUUGGUUGCCUUCCAAGUGUUUUACCAGCCAGCUAAGCCAAUUUAACAGCUCACCAAGAGGGGGAAAUCUCCUUCCUUUCAUUUCUUCCAAGGCUUGUCAGCCUUGGUGCAUCCUCCUCAUGUUGAGCUAUUAAAACUGGCUCAACGUUCCUUGCAUACUAACAAAACUUUACCCUUUUCUUCUGUCACUACUGCUAGGAGGUAAUCUGUUGCCUCUCUACAGAAAUUAGAUUAAUUGACAACUUCUAUGAAGAAUGUCAGUGAUAUCACAGACCCUGGUGCUUCUUUCAAUACUGAACUGCAAAAAGACAUUUCUAACUGUCCACUGAAUUUGCAACAAAAUGACCAGUGUGCACUGGAGGUCCACAGAAUAACAGUUGACAUGGAAUUGAAGUCCAGCAAACCUGACAGCAGCCUGGGUGUAGACACCCAAAGGCUCAACUCAGCCACUUGGAUUGUUUUAGUAAAUUUUUUUGCAUCAUGCUGAAACUGAACCGUGCAGGGUACAGGAAUAUAUCUAUCUCUCUAUAUAUAUAGUAUUA